AACGUACAAAUAAUUGAGUUCCGCCCACUCAGAUAAACCCCAGCUUCGCUCUGGGUUUUAUGGCUGUUGCAAACAAUGUUUUAUCUGCCUAUAAAGCCUGUCUCCCAUUGACAAAGAUGUGAACUUGGAAUUUUUGAUCUGGGUUAUGUGAUACAUUCCUGGCCAGGAAGGUGGUGCUCUCUCCUGUAACUUUCCACUGAUGCAAAUGAGGUCACAAGUGCCAGGAGGCAGCAGUGACAAGUCUGUGUGGGCAGAGACCCACGGGCCAAGGCCAGCCACAUGCUUUCUCUUCUGCAAGAAAUAUUUACACCAUCCUGUUGGCACAGGUCGGGGAGGUUGUGAGCUUUGUAGUUUGUGCCACAAAGGAGCCGAGACAGCCUCCAAGCCAUUCCUGUGGGGAUGUCUUUUCUUUCUUGUGCAGCUCAGGAGUCUGAGACCAGGGAGCUGCUGGGCAGGUGGCUGAUAGCGUUUCCCAUCCUUCCUGGAAAUCUCAGACAGCCAUGUGAGGCUACAGCAAGAAGGCAGCUGUCUGCAAGCCAGGAAGUGAGCCCUCACCAGAAGCCAAAUUGGCUGGCAACUUGAUCUUGGACUUCCCAGUUUCAAGAACUGUGAGAAAUAAGUUCCUGUGGUUUAAGUCACCCAGUCUAUGGUAUUUGUUAGGCAGUCUAAGCACACUAAGACAAUGACUUUGGGACUUCUACAGGACUGGUAUUCACAGUCAAGG
Long non-coding RNA from Hipposideros armiger (great roundleaf bat), 724 nucleotides. RefSeq lists it as uncharacterized. The record is from RefSeq and is a predicted model, not a curated record. Lineage: Eukaryota; Metazoa; Chordata; Mammalia; Chiroptera; Hipposideridae. The transcript is spliced from 3 exons.